AUGGGGUGCAGCAGGCGCGAAANCUUUACAAUGCGGGNAACCGUGAUAAGGGAACACCCAGUGCUAGCACUUAUGUNNNCNGUNCACANGUGUAAAUAACAUCUGAUANCAAGGGCUGGGCAAGACCGGUGCCAGCCGCCGCGGUAACACCGGCAGCCCGAGUGGUGAUCACUAUUAUUGGGUCUAAAGGGUCCGUAGCCGNNUUAAUCAGUNNUCNGGGAAAUCUCAUCGCUCAACUAUUAGGCUUCCAGGGGAUACUGUUAGCCUUGGGACCGGGAGAGGUAAGAGGUACCCCAGGGGUAGGAGUGAAAUCNUGUAAUCCCAGGGAGACCACCAGUGGCGAAGGCGUCUUACCAGAACGGGUCCGACGGUGAGGGACGAAAGCCGGGGGCACGAACCGGAUUAGAUACCCGGGUGGUCCCAGCUGUAAACGAUGCUCNUUAGGUGUCAGGAACGNNGNGNNNNUNUCCGGUGCCGAAGGGAAGCCGUGAAACGAGCCACCUGGGAAGUACGGCCGCAAGGCUGAAACUUAAAGGAAUUGGCGGGGGAGCAC
This 553-nucleotide ribosomal RNA is filed under the name uncultured euryarchaeote. RNAcentral describes it as "16S ribosomal RNA". It matches the Rfam family "Archaeal small subunit ribosomal RNA", at positions 325 to 879 of the family's 1478-position model. Lineage: Archaea; Methanobacteriati; Methanobacteriota. The record is from RNAcentral.